CAGCGCAGCGGGGGACCCCUAGGUCCUGACGUUUUCACUCAUCUGGCGACGCCAUCUCUACAGGAUCACGGGCCCUGAAGCCCAGGUGCCGCCCCUGGGCUGCUGUCCCUCCGAGGGGUCCCGGGAGCUCUGACUUGGCUCCUGCUCCAGCUCUGCCGGGCCGAAGUCCCGUCCGCCGGCGGGAGGGACGGCUGGAGCCCCUGCCCGCGCACCCCGGGACCGAGGGACGGACGGACGGACGGAGGGAGGGACGGAGCCCCUGCCCGCGCACCCCGGGACCGAGGGACGGACGGACGGACGGAGGGAGGGACGGAGCCCCUGCCCGCGCACCCCGGGACCGAGGGACGGACGGACGGACGGAGCCCCUGCCCGCGCACCCCGGGACCGAGGGACGGACGGACGGACGGAGGGAGGGACGGAGCCCCUGCCCGCGCACCCCGGGACCGAGGGACGGACGGACGGACGGACGGAGGGCGGAGCCCCUGCCCGCGCACCCCGGGUCGGACGGACGGAGCCGUGGUCUCCCCCACUCCCGCAGGGUGAAAGCCGGAGCCCGUGGUCCCGCCCAGGGUGGAGGACUGGGGAUCCGGUCUCCAAGGUGGAUCACAUUCCUGAGGACCAAGCCUCUGCUCUUUGCCCCGCUCUCAUUAAAAUUCUUGAAAAUGUUGCACCAACAUCGACACUGUGCCAGAGUCCGUGACACCUGCAGGGACAGGCGGGCAGCCAAAUCCAGGAGGUGGGCUGUUCUGUGGAAAGAUGACCCAGCUUAUGGAUUAAUUAAGGGGCUGGAGGAAAAGAAAGGAAGUGAACCGGUUGACAAUGGAAGCUUAAAGACAUGAUUAAAUGGAUGUCUGGACCUUCUUUGGAUCACGAUAGAGCAAACCAACUGUACAAAAGGCUCAUUCUUGGCCCACUUUUGAUUGUUCCUUUGUUUUGGUGGCCAAAUCCUCCGCCCCAAGGAAACCAGGGUUGGGAGACCUGUCUGGACGAGAGACCUGAUUUCUGGCAGCAAAUUGUCCACCACUUGUCCCUAGCACGCUGGCUCCAAGUAGAAAGGAAGUUCUGGGUAAGAAAAUGCCACCAGGCAUCGAAAGAUGAAUGGAUAAAGAAGAUGCGGUUUAUGUAUACAAUGGAAUAUUACUCAGCCAUUAGAAACGACAAAUACCCACCAUUUGCUUCAACGUGGAUGGAACUGGAGGGUAUUAUGCGGAGUGAAACCCAAUGGACGUCUGACUCCCGCUGUGACUUUUGCUGCUACUUUCCCCCUGUUUCCCCAUCUGGGGGUUCAUCCCAGCUGCGUCCAGGCAGUGUGAGCGAGUCCUAACAUCCGUUCAAUGACAAGACUGUGCGCCUGCUGCAGGGAAACCUCCAGCCUGCCCUCAAACAUGACGCUUGCUUGCAUCAGGGGCUCUGGUCCCCCACCUCUGGGCAGGUCGGUGGGGUGGAGGCAGAGUGAGUGGGGCUGAGUAGAGAAGCCCAGGAAGGAGGCCAGAUGCCAGGCCUCACCCUGCCCUCCAGAGAACUGUUGAGUUUCCACAGUUUCCAUCUAGAAAUCCAUGGAGAGAUGUUUUGGUUUCUACCAACUUAUCAGACAAUCAGGUAAGAUCCAAGUGCCUAGGCCUAAAGACUUUUGAACGUUAAAGGUAUCUGGGAUGAGAAAUUGCACUCUUAGGUGUUCACCUGAAGGCACUGAGAGUAGGAACUCAGAGACAUUUGUCAUGUUCGUGACAAUAUUGUUCCCAGUAGCUGAGAGGUGGAAGAGGCACCAGGCCCUUGGAUGGAGGUACAGAAACGCAGUGCGGCCCAUCCGUGCAACGCAAUGUUAUUCAGCAGAUUCAGGUUCCCAGGUUCCCAGGGGGUUCCUUCAGGUUGCCCAUGGAGUCCAGCUCCGGGCAACAGCAGAUCUUCAGUUCCUUGCUGACAGUCAGCCGAGGGCCACCCUCUGCCCCCAAGGCUGCACACUGCCUUCACUUUCACACGGCCCUUCCAGCUCCCAAGUGGGAGAGGCCAUCCAACAUGUUCUCGCGCUCUGAAGCUCUCUGACAUCCCCUGCUGGAGGAACCUCUCCACUUUUAAAGGACUCCCCAAGGUCAACCCCAUUGGAUGGAUAAUCUCCAGGAAGGCCAAUAAGGAAGAAGAUUCCGACACCUGCCAUAACAUAGUUGAAACUGGACAAUAUUGUGCUCAGCAAAAGCAAGCCAGGCAAUAAAAGGACUAAUAUUAUGUGAUUCCACUUGUAGGGAAUACCCCGAAUAGGCAAGUCUGUAGAGACAGCAGUAGUGGUUA
This is a long non-coding RNA of Nyctereutes procyonoides (raccoon dog), 2286 nucleotides long. RefSeq lists it as uncharacterized. The record is from RefSeq and is a predicted model, not a curated record. The transcript has 3 exons. NCBI's taxonomy places the organism in Eukaryota, Metazoa, Chordata, Mammalia, Carnivora, Canidae.